Long non-coding RNA from Rhinichthys klamathensis goyatoka, 562 nucleotides. RefSeq lists it as uncharacterized. The transcript is spliced from 2 exons. NCBI's taxonomy places the organism in Eukaryota, Metazoa, Chordata, Actinopteri, Cypriniformes, Leuciscidae. The record is from RefSeq and is a predicted model, not a curated record.
UUUCAACUCUGAUUUACAUGUAUGAUUUUUCCUCAAUCAGUAUCUGGAAGUGUAAUUAUUCUCAAAGACGCACACGCUCGCAUUACAACAGAGAUAUGUUUCCUUGUGAACAGUGCCAAAGGGGUUUGCAGAAUUAUAAUCAUUCCUGGUUUCGCUUAAUCCUUGGACCUAGCCUGCUUUUUCCAUCCCAUUUAUAUGGCCAAGUGUUUCCGAGUGCCAGCAAAAGGGAGGAGAAAGAAGUAUGGACUGAAAUGACAAGAAAAAAGGGAGUUAAAGAGCAGUUCGGAAAAUAUGGCUAAGGAAGGCAAGAAGUCUUGGAAUCGGAUGCAGGUUAAGAGGAGCAGCUGGAGAUUAGGACACAGAGAUGCAUUUCCCUUCCCCUCGCUGUUGUGCAGGAGAGUGAGUGGGCUAAACAAACACGUUAAAGCCAUAGUUCACCCAAAAAUAAACAAUUCUGUCAUCAUUUACUCACCCUCAUCUUGAUUCAAACAUGUUUGACUUUCUUUCCUCUGCAGAACACUAAAGAAGAUAUUCUGAAGAAUGUUUUGGUAACCAUUGACUU